RNAcentral lists this ribosomal RNA (253 nucleotides) under uncultured bacterium. RNAcentral's name for it is "partial 16S ribosomal RNA". It matches the Rfam family "Bacterial small subunit ribosomal RNA", at positions 524 to 776 of the family's 1533-position model. The record is from RNAcentral.
UACAGAGGUCUCAAGCGUUGUUCGGAUUCAUUGGGCGUAAAGGGUGCGUAGGCGGCGCGGUAAGUCGGAUGUGAAAUCUCGGGGCUUAACUCCGAAACUGCAUUCGAUACUGCCGUGCUUGAGGACUGGAGAGGAGACUGGAAUUUACGGUGUAGCAGUGAAAUGCGUAGAGAUCGUAAGGAAGACCAGUGGCGAAGGCGGGUCUCUGGACAGUUCCUGACACUGAGGCACGAAGGCCAGGGGAGCAAACGGG